This 475-nucleotide ribosomal RNA is filed under the name uncultured bacterium. RNAcentral describes it as "bacterial SSU rRNA". It matches the Rfam family "Bacterial small subunit ribosomal RNA", at positions 28 to 514 of the family's 1533-position model. The record is from RNAcentral.
GAUGAACGCUGGCGGCGUGCCUAAUACAUGCAAGUCGAACGAGGUGCUUUUGUAGCAAUACGAGAGUAUCCUAGUGGCGAACGGGUGGGUAACGCGUGGAUGACCUGCCCCAAAGUGUGGGAUAACAGUCCGAAAGGAUUGCUAAUACCUCAUGUGGUUAUCGGUUUUAGAAAGCGAUAACUAAAGCAGCAAUGCGCUUUGGGAGGGAUCUGCGUCCCAUCAGCUAGUUGGUGAGGUAACGGCUCACCAAGGCGACGACGGGUAGGGGACCUGAGAGGGUGGCCCCCCACAAUGGAACUGAAACACGGUCCAUACACCUACGGGUGGCAGCAGUAGGGAAUAUUGCUCAAUGGGCGAAAGCCUGAAGCAGCAACGCCGCGUGUGCGAUGAAGGCCUCGGUCGUAAGCACUUUCUUAAGAGAUGAGAAAGGACAGUAUCAUAGGAAUAAGUACUCGGCUAACUACGUAGCCAGCAG